UAAUAAGUGUUUUAUGGCACUUUUUAAAUCCAUAUCCACCUUGUGUGCAAUGUUGGUCGAUCUUCUUUUUUUGAGGAUCGACCAAACAUCAACCUUUAUCUUUUAACUCUUUGUCUGAAAAAUAUUAUGAAUAAACAAUUCAAAAUA
Molecule: unclassified non-coding RNA, 147 nt
Filed under: soil metagenome
Description: partial internal transcribed spacer 1
Source: RNAcentral